GGCUGAGACGGAGCUCCUCCUGGUGGUGCCGUGAAGAGCCUGAGCUGGACCCGGACUCCCGCUCCCCUGGGGCGCACCCCUCUCCUUUGACCCAUGGAGGGAUUAGGAACGCUGGGGUCCCCAACCCCUCGGGGCACCUUGGUGAUCAUGCAGCACCCCGGGGAGCCCACCUGGAUCCUCUUGGCCAGGUGCCUGGAGUGCAACACGGAAAAGUUGGUGAUUCUGUCAGUACCUCCGUGGAAAUUUCAAGAAACAAAGCUCUUCUCCCUUCCCGAAUUUUCUCAGGAUUUCGGUGCCUGUGCUUUGCUGGUGACAGCUUGGCAGUGUAUUAAGAUGCUUCCUCCAACCUGAUGAUCUUAUCGAGUGAAAAGCUGUUCAAACUUUUGUGUUUUUCAAUAUUACAUCCACACCUGUGGCAGCUACUUUAGCUAUCCCCUGUGAAGUUGACCUUGACUCCCUCAGCUGUUCAGGGCUCUUUGAUGAGAUUUGGGAGGCAUUGUGAAGAUCAGGAAAAUGAGUGAGUAUAUGGAAAAAGGUGAAUGAGUGGGUAACGCUGGGGGCACUCCGAUCUCAACAACAAGUCUCCCUGGUAGUGAAGGAAGACUUGGCCCUUCUCCGCCCAGGUGACUGAGCUCCCAUGUUUGUGCUCAGUACUGCCCCCUUGGCCUCACCGACAGUAGCUCACCCAUCAGAGAGCAGGUAGAACUGGCAGGACAUGGGGAUGCCUUGUUCUGAGUGUACCAUCUGCUCCACAAUGAACACUUCCACCUGCUGAUGGCCCACCUGGAUUGUCUGGGAGCCCAGGGCUUGCUGGCAGCAACAGAAAUGAAGGGAGGGAGGUGAGGCGGAUGCCCACCAGGACCUCCCCCUGCAUCUCACCCUGCCCCUCUCUCCAUCUUGUAGCUUCAUUGCUUGUUCACUGGUGAUAAGCAACCCUUGGCUGUCCAGACCCUUAGGCUCCACAAGAUUUGGGUUGAAGCCCCGGGUUAAGUUGAGGUCCUCUCAUAGAGAGCCAGCUCCACCCUGCUCCUGCCUCAACCCCUGUCCAUGCCAGCUCCAUGACCAACUGCUUCUAGCUGGCAGAUUCUGUAACACCAACUAGGUGUGAGUGUGGGAGAGGGCAGGGGUUGGGUUACUGGGGGGAUAGAAGGUAGUGAGGCUCUAGAGAGGGACUUUUUUAUUGUUCAGUUUCUAAGUCGUGUCUGACACUUUGCAGCUUUAUGGACUGCAGCAUGCCAGGCUUCCCUGUCCUUCAAUAUCUCCCAGAGUUUGCUCCAAUUCAUGUCCAUUGAACCAG
Bubalus bubalis (water buffalo) is the source of this 1297-nucleotide long non-coding RNA. RefSeq lists it as uncharacterized. The record is from RefSeq and is a predicted model, not a curated record. NCBI's taxonomy places the organism in Eukaryota, Metazoa, Chordata, Mammalia, Artiodactyla, Bovidae. The transcript has 3 exons.